RNAcentral lists this ribosomal RNA (720 nucleotides) under Halomonas sp. Mg58. RNAcentral's name for it is "bacterial SSU rRNA". It matches the Rfam family "Bacterial small subunit ribosomal RNA", at positions 56 to 774 of the family's 1533-position model. Lineage: Bacteria; Pseudomonadati; Pseudomonadota; Gammaproteobacteria; Oceanospirillales; Halomonadaceae. The record is from RNAcentral.
UGCAGUCGAGCGGUAACAGAUCCAGCUUGCUGGAUGCUGACGAGCGGCGGACGGGUGAGUAACGCAUAGGAAUUUACCCGGUAGUGGGGGAUAACCUGGGGAAACUCAGGCUAAUACCGCAUACGUCCUACGGGAGAAAGGGGGCUUUGGCUCCCGCUAUCGGAUGAGCCUAUGCCGGAUUAGCUGGUUGGUGAGGUAAUGGCUCACCAAGGCGACGAUCCGUAGCUGGUCUGAGAGGAUGAUCAGCCACAUCGGGACUGAGACACGGCCCGAACUCCUACGGGAGGCAGCAGUGGGGAAUAUUGGACAAUGGGGGCAACCCUGAUCCAGCCAUGCCGCGUGUGUGAAGAAGGCCCUCGGGUUGUAAAGCACUUUCAGCGAGGAAGAACGCCUGGUGGUUAAUACCCGCCAGGAAAGACAUCACUCGCAGAAGAAGCACCGGCUAACUCCGUGCCAGCAGCCGCGGUAAUACGGAGGGUGCAAGCGUUAAUCGGAAUUACUGGGCGUAAAGCGCGCGUAGGUGGCUUGAUAAGCCGGUUGUGAAAGCCCCGGGCUCAACCUGGGAACGGCAUCCGGAACUAUGAGGCUAGAGUGCAGGAGAGGAAGGUAGAAUUCCCGGUGUAGCGGUGAAAUGCGUAGAGAUCGGGAGGAAUACCAGUGGCGAAGGCGGCCUUCUGGACUGACACUGACACUGAGGUGCGAAAGCGUGGGUAGCAAACA